This 357-nucleotide ribosomal RNA is filed under the name Hygrophorus cossus. RNAcentral's name for it is "eukaryotic LSU rRNA". It matches the Rfam family "Eukaryotic large subunit ribosomal RNA", at positions 1 to 350 of the family's 3401-position model. The record is from RNAcentral. Lineage: Eukaryota; Fungi; Basidiomycota; Agaricomycetes; Agaricales; Hygrophoraceae.
UUGAUCUCAAAUCAGGUAGGACUACCCGCUGAACUUAAGCAUAUCAAUAAGCGGAGGAAAAGAAACUAACAAGGAUUCCCCUAGUAACUGCGAGUGAAGCGGGAAAAGCNCAAAUUUAAAAUCUGACAGUCUUUUGACUGUCCGAGUUGUAAUCUAGAGAAGUGCUUUCCGCGUUGGACUGUGUACAAGUCUCUUGGAACAGAGCUUCAUAGAGGGUGAGAAUCCCGUCUUUGACACAGACUACCAAUGCUUUUGUGAUGUGCUCUCAAAGAGUCGAGUUGUUUGGGAAUGCAGCUCAAAAUGGGUGGUAAAUUCCAUCUAAGCUAAAUAUGGCGAGAGACCGAUAGCGAACAAGUA